Molecule: ribosomal RNA, 280 nt
Filed under: uncultured microorganism
Description: partial 16S ribosomal RNA
Rfam family: Archaeal small subunit ribosomal RNA
Source: RNAcentral
GCGCACCAGUCGAGAAACCUCUGCAAUGCGCGCAAGCGCGACAGGGCUACCCCGAGUGCCGCCCGCUGAGGGCGGCUUUUCUCCGGUGUAAUGAGUCGGAGGAAUAAGGGGAGGGCAAGCCUGGUGUCAGCCGCCGCGGUAAUACCAGCUCCCCGAGUGGUGGGGACGGUUAUUGGGCCUAAAGCGUCCGUAGCCGGUUCGGCAAGUCCUCCGUUAAAGCCAACGAUCCAAUCGUUGGAAUGCGGGGGAUACUGCCGGACUAGGGGGCGGAGAGGCCGAC